Molecule: ribosomal RNA, 433 nt
Filed under: uncultured bacterium
Lineage: Bacteria
Description: partial 16S ribosomal RNA
Rfam family: Bacterial small subunit ribosomal RNA
Source: RNAcentral
AACGAACGCUGGCGGCAUGCCUAACACAUGCAAGUCGAACGAGACCUUCGGGUCUAGUGGCGCACGGGUGCGUAACGCGUGGGAACCUGCCCUUAGGUUCGGAAUAACUCCCCGAAAGGGGUGCUAAUACCGGAUAAUGUCUUCGGACCAAAGAUUUAUCGCCUUUGGAUGGGCCCGCGUUGGAUUAGCUAGUUGGUAGGGUAAAAGCCUACCAUGGCGACGAUCCAUAGCUGGUCUGAGAGGAUGAUCAACCACACUGGGACUGAGACACGGCCCAGACUCCUACGGGGGGCAGCAGUGGGGAAUAUUGGACAAUGGGCGAAAGCCUGAUCCAGCAAUGCCGCGUGAGUGAUGAAGGCCUUAGGGUUGUAAAGCUCUUUUACCCGGGAUGAUAAUGACAGUACCGGGAGAAUAAGCUCCGGCUAACUCCGUG